Molecule: transfer RNA, 82 nt
Filed under: Paenibacillus anaericanus
Lineage: Bacteria; Bacillati; Bacillota; Bacilli; Caryophanales; Paenibacillaceae
Description: tRNA-Pro
Source: RNAcentral
GUGUUUGGUGGAAUUGGCAGACGCGCUAGAUUCGGGUUCUAGUGUCAGCAAUGACUUGGAGGUUCGAGUCCUCUUGACCGCA